CGUUACCCGGGUUGCGGACAGUGUCUGGUGGGUAGUUUGACUGGGGCGGUCUCCUCCUAAAGAGUAACGGAGGAGCACGAAGGUUGGCUAAUCCUGGUCGGACAUCAGGAGGUUAGUGCAAUGGCAUAAGCCAGCUUGACUGCGAGCGUGACGGCGCGAGCAGGUGCGAAAGCAGGUCAUAGUGAUCCGGUGGUUCUGAAUGGAAGGGCCAUCGCUCAACGGAUAAAAGGUACUCCGGGGAUAACAGGCUGAUACCGCCCAAGAGUUCAUAUCGACGGCGGUGUUUGGCACCUCGAUGUCGGCUCAUCACAUCCUGGGGCUGAAGUAGGUCCCAAGGGUAUGGCUGUUCGCCAUUUAAAGUGGUACGCGAGCUGGGUUUAGAACGUCGUGAGACAGUUCGGUCCCUAUCUGCCGUGGGCGCUGGAGAACUGAGGGGGGCUGCUCCUAGUACGAGAGGACCGGAGUGGACGCAUCACUGGUGUUCGGGUUGUCAUGCCAAUGGCACUGCCCGGUAGCUAAAUGCGGAAGAGAUAAGUGCUGAAAGCAUCUAAGCACGAAACUUGCCCCGA
This 569-nucleotide ribosomal RNA is filed under the name Salmonella enterica. RNAcentral's name for it is "partial 23S ribosomal RNA". It matches the Rfam family "Bacterial large subunit ribosomal RNA", at positions 2234 to 2802 of the family's 2925-position model. Lineage: Bacteria; Pseudomonadati; Pseudomonadota; Gammaproteobacteria; Enterobacterales; Enterobacteriaceae. The record is from RNAcentral. RNAcentral also lists the same sequence under 3 other names.